UGCGGACAUAUCAUAACGAAGAGGUAUCGUAAUUGAAGAGGUUUGGAAAGACCCACCACAGAAGGUAAUAGUCCUGUAUGUUAAACGAGAAGACUUCAGAUAUGAUCCAGAGUACCACGGGACACGUGAAACCCUGUGGGAAGCAGGAGGGACCACCCUCCAAGGCUAAAUACUACCUAGUGACCGAUAGCGUAUAGUACCGUGAGGGAAAGGUGAAAAGAACCCCGGGAGGGGAGUGAAAUAGAACCUGAAACCCUGCACUUACAAGCUGUGGAAGCACAUUUCUUGUGUGACCGCGUACUUUUUGUAGAACGGGCCAACGAGUUACGUUAAGUAGCAAGGUUAAGCACUUAAGGUGCGGAGCCGUAGCGAAAGCGAGUUUUAACUGAGCGUUCAGUUACUUGACGUAGACCCGAAACCGGGCGACCUACCCAUGAGCAGGAUGAAGCGAAAGUAAAAUUUCGUGGAGGUCCGAACCCACGAGCGUUGAAAAGCUCGGGGAUGACUUGUGGGUAGCGGUGAAAUUCCAAUCGAGCCCGGAGAUAGCUGGUUCUCCCCGAAAUAGCUUUAGGGCUAGCCUCAAGGUGAGAGAUACGGAGGUAGAGCACUGAAUGUCCUAGGGGGUAUUGCACCUACCGAAGACUAUCAAACUCCGAAUGCCGUCAUCUUAUACUUGGGAGUCAGACUGUGGGUGAUAAGAUUCAUAGUCGAAAGGGCAACAGCCCAGAUCGUCAGCUAAGGUCCCUAAAUGUAAGUUAAGUGGUAAAGGAUGUGGGAUUGCACAGACAACCAGGAUGUUGGCUUAGAAGCAGCCACUCAUUCAAAGAGUGCGUAAUAGCUCACUGGUCGAGUGAUCCUGCGCCGAAGAUUUCCGGGGCUAAAACUUACUACCGAAGCUACGGCAUCAGUAAUGAUGGGUAGGGGAGCUUCCCAUACGGGUUGAAGCAUGACCGUAAGGACAUGUGGACAGUAUGGGAGUGAGAAUGUUGGCAUGAGUAGCGAGAUGUGGGUGAGAAUCCCACAGGCCGUAAACCCAAGGUUUCCAGGGGAAGGUUCGUCCGCCCUGGGUUAGUCGGGACCUAAGCUGAGGCCGAAAGGCGUAGGUGAUGGACAACAGGUUGAUAUUCCUGUACUACCGAUAACCGUUUGAGAGAAGGGAUGACACAGUAGGAUAAGCUAAGCACACUGUUGGUUAUGUGUGCCCAAGCAUUGAGGCAGUCAAAGUAGGCAAAUCCGCUUUGAUAAUGCUGGGAUGUGAUGGGGAGCGAAAUUUAGUAGCGAAGUAGCUGAUUUCACACUGUCAAGAAAAGUCUCUAUCGAGGUUAAAGGUACCCGUACCGCAAACCGACACAGGUGGGUGAGGAGAGUAUCCUAAGGCCAGCGAGAGAACUGUUGUUAAGGAACUCGGCAAAAUGACCCCGUAACUUAGGGAUAAGGGGUGCCACCAUCAGGUGGCCGCAGAGAAUAGGCCCAAGCGACUGUUUACCAAAAACAUAGGUUUCUGCUAAGUCGCAAGACGAUGUAUAGGAGCUGACGCCUGCCCGGUGCUGGAAGGUUAAGGGGAUCUGUUAGAGCAAUCGAAGCAGUGAACUUAAGCCCCAGUAAACGGCGGCCGUAACUAUAACGGUCCUAAGGUAGCGAAAUUCCUUGUCGGGUAAGUUCCGACCCGCACGAAAGGCGUAACGAUUUGGGCACUGUCUCAACAACAGACUCGGUGAAAUUGUAAUUCCGGUGAAGAUGCCGGAUACCUGCGACAGGACGGAAAGACCCCAUGGAGCUUUACUGUAGCUUGACAUUGGGUCUUGGUACUACAUGUACAGGAUAGGUGGGAGGCUUUGAAACCAGGACGCCAGUUUUGGCGGAGCCAUCCUUGGGAUACCACCCUUGUAGUACUGGGACUCUAACCAUAGGCCAUGAAUCUGGUCUUGGGACACUGUCAGGUGGGCAGUUUGACUGGGGCGG
Molecule: ribosomal RNA, 1962 nt
Filed under: Clostridium sp. HMSC19C05
Lineage: Bacteria; Bacillati; Bacillota; Clostridia; Eubacteriales; Clostridiaceae
Description: bacterial LSU rRNA
Rfam family: Bacterial large subunit ribosomal RNA
Source: RNAcentral